Long non-coding RNA from Chroicocephalus ridibundus (black-headed gull), 558 nucleotides. RefSeq lists it as uncharacterized. The record is from RefSeq and is a predicted model, not a curated record. The transcript is spliced from 3 exons. NCBI's taxonomy places the organism in Eukaryota, Metazoa, Chordata, Aves, Charadriiformes, Laridae.
CCUGGUUUACUCCAGAGAGAGGACAUUCGUCCCCUUUGCCACCAACUGUUUUAGAGCAUGAAAUAUUGUUUGCUGCUGCCAAGGAUGAAACCUGGGUGAAGAAGCUCAGCUAGGCAAAGAAGCGCAGAGUCUGAAACUUUCCACUGCGGAAGACUGAAAAGAGAAGUGAUGGUUUAGCAAAACGGAGCUAAGGCAGAAGGGAGUGGGAUACACAGAGCUGUAUAGCGUCAACCCAAACGCUCCACAGACACACAAAAAUGUGCAAAACCAGAGACCUGUCUUGACAGAGCCCUGCUCACCUGCCAGCCCACCUGCUUCUGCUGGGGGUGCCCUGCUUCCACAACUCAUCUGCCAUCCCACUGGUUUUCCAGCAUUUUGGAAUACCACUUACCCUUUUACCAGCAUUGUCCUUUACCAGUUUGUGUAAAGCAGGCAACAAAAAUCAACUGUUUUAACCUCAUUGGUCUGACUGCUUAUAAGGUCGAAAGUGUUGAACAGUUAUAGUUAAAUGAAAUUGAAAACUUAGAUUUGAAAGAUAGAAAGAUAGAAAACAAGAUG